GCAGCAUCGCGUCUGUGCAGCAAAUCCCCAUUCGUCCUUUACAGGCAGACUCUGGAACGCCUCUUGAGACCUUCCCCUUCAGAGCCAACCGCAGUUACUAUGCAUUUAUUUUUAUUUUGUUCCUCUUUCAUUCCGCCCCUGUAACAAGCUCUUGGAACGAUGCUCCUCGGAUGGAUACCAACCGCUUCAGGAUAAGAAAAAGAAAAUGGCCAGUUUCAAUUCAACUUAAUGCAACAGACGUUGGUUCAAAUUUAAAGGCACGAGAACUGGGUCUGCUGACGGUGAAGUUCCAGCCUGAAGCUCUAUGGGUUUGGGACCCAGCAAAACCCCACUUGGCACUUGGACAGGAGGAAUUCUCUGUUCUACUCCAGGAAGCGCUAGCCUUCUCUUCAGUCUUUCAUCUGAUCGGAUGGGGCUGCAGACACCUUAGACUGAACAUCGCCGACCAUCGAAAGGGCUGAAAAGCUCUGUUGAAAAAGCCUUUUUUUUAGCUUUGUUGAAAAAGUCGUUCUUAGCUGGACUGUGGUGGUACACACCUUAAUCCCAGCGCUCCAGAGGCUGAGGCAGGUGGAUCUACACUGAGAAACCCUAUCUCGAAAAACAAGCAACCAAACGAAAACAAAAGCCCUUCUUUCAGAAACGAAGUUCCCAGCUCAGGACACAGCUCUUCUCCCUGCACUGUCAUCUGUAUGGCCACCACCCCAGCACUCUCACCCACUGAUAAUUUCUGCCUACAAAUGCUCGUCCGCUUCCUGAUUCUCUUCGCUCCCGUGCAGAGCGUUGCACCUCAAAGAUCCUGACAGUAUAAUCACAUUGUUUCGUGUAGUCAACACUGAGACUGGUGCCUCUGUCCAGGACGGACAGUGGCUUGUGGCUGCUCUGGGAAAGCUUUGCUUCAGGUUAAAUAAAGAGAUCUCCCCACAACCCAGAUCUUCUCCCCCAGCCCCCAGCCCGUACUCCUUCAUCCUUGUUUGUGAGCAUCUCCAGGGAUGAGAGUCAUUCAUGUACUCCUCAGAGCAGUCCUCCUUCUCCAGACCCAUUGCCCAUCAUCCUUCCACAAGAUUAGCUAUAAUGGUCUCAUUUACUUACUCUGAGCCUUGCAGAGAGUGAGGAUUCUAUAGAAGCAGCACACUCAGAGAAUAUGGAACCACAAGAGGAUGUGUGUGCUGCCAGAAUGGGAAGAAUUCAGUCCAGUUUUGUAGAGUUCUAAUAGGUCUUACUAAUAAAAGCCUGGAGUCAGAGACAGGGGAAAAUGCUAAGAGAUCAGACAGAAGAAGGAGCAAGCCAAAGCCACCUUUAUCUCACUGGCUUCCCAGCAGAAAAAAGGUCCUGUUUCCUCCCGCCUAUAUUCCUUUCUCCGUCCAGCCAUCUCACUGCCUGUCUGUCUGUACCAACCUCCAGACCUCCAUGGUUAGCUAGUGGCAAGCUCCAUCCCCUGAUCUUCAGACAAGCUUUAUUUGUACAAACAGAACAUCACCACGGAGUUUUGCAGAGGGCGCUGGUGGAGGAAGGGAAGGAAGGAAGAGGGCUCCCAAGGUUAGCUGGGGUGUGCUGUGGGUAGACUCUGAGCCUUCCUAAGGGAGAGAGGAAGUAGGUGGUCUACAGCAGCCUCUGUGCUGGGCCUUCUGGACCUGCUGUUGAAGUCCUGAUAACAGAAACCUGCUGUGUCAUUUGAGUGCAUUAACACAGGGCAGGCUGAUGAGCAUCCCAAAGGAGAAAAGCAUGUAGACUUUACCUAAGGAAUGUGGGGUGCCUCCUAGGGCUGAAAUGUAUUCCUCAUUAGCUUUCCAGUAAAGCCGCCUCUGGAUCCUGUGUGCGAUGUUAUCAAUAUGCUAAGCUUUAUGAUCUCGCAGGGAGAAAAGUCUUUCAAUUUUAAUUCUUUCUCUGCUAAAAACAUGGCUUAUCUCUGUUUUCAUUUUGCUGUCGAAAUCCUCUUACCUCUAUAUCCACUUCCUAACAAAAUACGCAGUGACUUUUUUUUUUUUUGAUGGGGGCGGUUCUCUGUGUAGCCAGGACUGUCCCGGAACUCAGACUGUAGUCCAGGCUGGCCUCGAACUCACAGAGGUCCAUUCCACCUCCCAAGGGCUGGGAUUAAAGGCCACCGCAGAGUCUUUUUAACCAUGUCUCUCUCCACUCCAGUCCCCCAGGAGGUGAAGGCCCCGCCCCCCCAGCUCAUUUACAUGUUGUUUUUGCCUAGAACACUCUCUCUGCAGUUUUCAUGCUCCCAUCCAGGGCACAGGUCGGGCUACACCUCUCUUCUCUGGUCACCCCAACUAGAGAAGCCAGCUGGUGGCUCCGUGGUGCGCUGCUGCAUUGCUUCAUUUUCCUCACAGCAGUGACUGUCUUCUCCCAUCCGAUGAGGUUCGCAGCCACAGAGUCUGCGUCCUGUCUGCUGUGGUUUGUCUCCCUCUCUGGGAAUGGUUCACCGGGAUACCUGCUUGCAAAGGAAGCAGUCUCCUAAUGGUAUUCUCACAAAAAAUCACAUUUUGUAGAAGUUCUUCUGUACGUGUUAGUUUUCAAAACCAAUUUCAUAGGCACGCUCUAGCUUCUCCUUCAGGACAACCCAAUGAGGCAGGUAAAACGGGCUUACAUUUCUCUAGAAAGGCUAAUACAGUGAGAAGCGCUGACAGCGAGGUAGCAGGACUUGUCUAAACUUCUUCAGCUUGUUAGUCCCAAGGCAUGGUCUUUCCCCAUCAGGGUCAAUGCUUUCCAUCUUCUGUCUCCUAGUCCUGUCUUGUGAUUUCCCUUAACUUCCCAGAACUGAAAAAUCCAUCCUUGUGGGAGAUGAGAAAGCGCCCUGAGAAGGAGGGUGAAGUAUGCCUGGAUUCCUCAGGAAUGUUUAGGACAAAUAGCCCAAACUGUGCCCAGGGUUUCGGCAGAUCGCCGGACCAAUCGAUAUGGUGGGAACCACUAAGUCUGGAUAACAGCACUUCUCUCAUUGCAGAAGGAUUGUGCUACUUUUACAUGGAAACGGAGGCCCCUCUGAAAUGAUCAUUGGGCUCCCGAAGGGCGUGACCCACAGGUUGAGAACUACUGAGCUAGACGCUCUGACAACGUGGCUGAAUGAUUAAGAACUUGUGAAUCCAAGUUAGCGUCCCAGCACCCACAUGGUGGUUCACAGCCGUCUACAACUGUAGUUCCAGGGGGGGCAGUACAUUAAAUGCAAUGAAUAAAUCUAGUAAAAGUUUGCAAUAAAAAAUAAAGUUACCUAGAAAAUCAGUUACAGAACAAACACGUCAAGCUCAAAAGGUCAAAAUACUUGGUCAUUCAAGCUCUAUUACAGAGCUAUAGUCCUGAAAACAGCUUGGUAUUGGCACAAAAAUAGACAGGUAGACCAAUGGAAUCGAAUUGAAAACCCGGGUAUUAACCCACACACGUACAAACAUCUGAUC
Mesocricetus auratus (golden hamster) is the source of this 3392-nucleotide long non-coding RNA. RefSeq lists it as uncharacterized. The transcript has 6 exons. The record is from RefSeq and is a predicted model, not a curated record. Lineage: Eukaryota; Metazoa; Chordata; Mammalia; Rodentia; Cricetidae.